This 760-nucleotide ribosomal RNA is filed under the name uncultured Acidobacteriota bacterium. RNAcentral describes it as "bacterial SSU rRNA". It matches the Rfam family "Bacterial small subunit ribosomal RNA", at positions 72 to 865 of the family's 1533-position model. The record is from RNAcentral. Lineage: Bacteria; Pseudomonadati; Acidobacteriota.
AAGUGGAGCAAUCCAUGAGUAAAGUGGCGUACGGGUGAGUAACACGUGGGUAAUCUACCUUUUGGUGGGGAAUAACCCUGGGAAACCGGGGCUAAUACCGCAUAAGCUCGAAAGAGGAAAAGAGAAAUUUGCCGAAAGAGGAGCCCGCGGCUGAUUAGCUAGUUGGUGAGGUAAAGGCUCACCAAGGCGAAGAUCGGUAGCCGGCCUGAGAGGGCACACGGCCACACUGGCACUGAAACACGGGCCAGACUCCUACGGGAGGCAGCAGUGGGGAAUCUUGCACAAUGGGGGAAACCCUGAUGCAGCGACGCCGCGUGAGCGAUGAAGCCCUUCGGGGUGUAAAGCUCUUUCGGCCCGAACGAUAAUGACGGUACGGGAAGAAGAAGCUGCGGCUAACUACGUGCCAGCAGCCGCGGUAAUACGUAGGCAGCGAGCGUUGUUCGGAGUUACUGGGCGUAAAGCGUGCGUAGGCGGUUUUGUAAGUUUGGUGUGAAAUCUCCCGGCUCAACUGGGAGGGUGCGCCGAAAACUGCAAGGCUGGAGUGUGGGAGAGGUAGGCGGAAUUCCUGGUGUAGCGGUGAAAUGCGUAGAUAUCAGGAGGAACACCUGUGGUGUAGACGGCUUACUGGACCAUGACUGACGCUGAGGCACGAGAGCGUGGGGAGCAAACAGGAUUAGAUACCCUGGUAGUCCACGCCCUAAACGAUGCAUACUUGGUGUAGGCAGUUCAUUCUGUCUGUGCCGGAGCUAACGCGUUAAGU